UAUGUGUGUGUGUGUGUGUGUGAUCGUGAGUUGAAGCCAGGAGAAGCCAACCCCUCAAAACCCUAAACAUCUAAAAUUCCAUCAAUUGAAAGUGAAAUUAGCAAGGAAUCGAAUGCAUGAGCUAGGAAUUUUGAUUUACUAAGUGUUCUUAACCUCAAGAACUAAGAAGGAAGAAGGGGCAAGUCACUUCAAAGCGCAAGGAAAUCAGGAUCACAGUAAAUCCCAAGUUUAGAUGUGGCGCACUCGGACCGAACACAGACACACACGCAACGUCGACCUUAUGCGCUUCUGGUCCAAUUUGUUUAUUUUGAAUGGGUUAAUUUACCAUUUUGUGUAGUAAAUGUUAAUUAGUAAGUGUCUAGUAUGUUAGUAAGAAGUUUGGAUUCUAAAUCUUUUGUGUAGUUUGUACAAAAUGUUCACAACGAACCUUUUAUGGUCUUAACUUUUGUUAUGUUGGAAAGUGUCGUAGUAUUUAAUUAAAAUGAUAUUGUUAAAGCAGGGAGAAAAGUUCGUAAUAUGAACGGGUCAUGUCAAAAAUUUUGAAAAAUUGUAAGAAUUUUAUGUUAUUAUUCGAAUGAGUAAAAAUUUGGGCGUUUCAGUAA
Helianthus annuus (common sunflower) is the source of this 602-nucleotide long non-coding RNA. RefSeq lists it as uncharacterized. The transcript is spliced from 3 exons. Lineage: Eukaryota; Viridiplantae; Streptophyta; Magnoliopsida; Asterales; Asteraceae. The record is from RefSeq and is a predicted model, not a curated record.